CCUACGGGUGGCUGCAGUGGGGGAUAUUGCACAAUGGGGGUAACCCUGAUGCAGCGACGCCGCGUGGGUGAAGAAGCGCCUCGGCGCGUAAAGCCCUGUCAGCAGGGAAGAAAAUGACGGUACCUGAAGAAGAAGCCCCGGCUAACUACGUGCCAGCAGCCGCGGUAAUACGGAGGGGGCAAGCGUUAUCCGGAUUUACUGGGCGUAAAGGGGGCGCAGACGGCAAUGCAAGCCAGGAGUGAAAGCCCGUGGCCCAACCCCGGGACUGCUCUUGGAACUGCAUGGCUGGAGUACAGGAGGGGCAGGCGGAAUUCCUAGUGUAGCGGUGAAAUGCGUAGAUAUUAGGAGGAACACCGGUGGCGAAGGCGGCCUGCUGGACUAUAACUGACGUUGAGGCCCGAAGGCGUGGGGAGCAAACAGGAUUAGAUACCCCAGUAGUC
RNAcentral lists this ribosomal RNA (440 nucleotides) under uncultured bacterium. RNAcentral describes it as "partial 16S ribosomal RNA". It matches the Rfam family "Bacterial small subunit ribosomal RNA", at positions 338 to 795 of the family's 1533-position model. The record is from RNAcentral.